This 500-nucleotide ribosomal RNA is filed under the name uncultured bacterium. RNAcentral describes it as "partial 16S ribosomal RNA". It matches the Rfam family "Bacterial small subunit ribosomal RNA", at positions 899 to 1397 of the family's 1533-position model. The record is from RNAcentral.
ACUCAAAUGAAUUGACGGGGACCCGCACAAACGGUGGAGCAUGUGGUUUAAUACGACGAUACGCGUGGAACCUCACCCAGACUUGACAUGUACUGGAAGUACUUAUGAAAGUAGGUACGCCCCUUAAAAGGCCGGUACACAGGUGUUGCAUGGCUGUCGUCAGCUCGUGUCGUGAGAUGUUGGGUUAAGUCCCGCAACGAGCGCAACCCUUAUCCUUAGUUGCUAAUCCGCAAGGAUGCACUCUAGGGAGACUGCCGCUGAUAAAGCGGAGGAAGGUGGGGAUGACGUCAAGUCAGUACGGCCCUUACGUCUGGGGCUACACACGUGCUACAAUGGCCGGCACAAAGGGCUGCGAUACCGCAAGGUGGAGCCAAUCCUAAAAACCGGUCUCAGUUCGGACUGUGGGCUGCAACUCGCCCACAUGAAGCCGGAAUCGUUAGUAACCCUAUAUCAGCCACGAUAGGGUGAAUACGUUCCCGGGUCUUGUACACACCGCCCGU